AAACGCUGAAGGCAUCUAAGCGUGAAGCCCCCCUUAAGAUGAGAUAUCCCAUUCGUAAAGAAGUAAACCCCCUUGAAGACGACGAGGUAGAUAGGGCAGAGGUGGAAGUGCAGUAAUGCAUGGAGCUGACUGUUACUAAUCGGGUGAGGGCUUGACCAAG
RNAcentral lists this ribosomal RNA (160 nucleotides) under Blautia wexlerae. Its description in RNAcentral is "partial 23S ribosomal RNA". It matches the Rfam family "Bacterial large subunit ribosomal RNA", at positions 2766 to 2925 of the family's 2925-position model. The record is from RNAcentral. Lineage: Bacteria; Bacillati; Bacillota; Clostridia; Lachnospirales; Lachnospiraceae.